ACGGAAGGCAGCAGUGGGGAAUAUUGGGCAAUGGGGGAAACCCUGACCCAGCAACGCCGCGUGAAGGAAGAAGGCCUUCAGGUUGUAAACUUCUUUUAAGAGGGACGAACAAAUGACGGUACCUCUUGAAUAAGCCACGGCUAACUACGUGCCAGCAGCCGCGGUAAUACGUAGGUGGCAAGCGUCGUCCGGAUUUACUGGGUGUAAAGGGCGCGUAGGUGGGAGAGCAAGUCAGGUGUGAAAUACCGCAGCUUAACUGCGGAGCUGCAUUUGAAACUGUUCUUCUUGAGUACUGGAGAGGCAGGCGGAAUUCCCAGUGUAGCGGUGAAAUGCGUAGAUAUUGGGAGGAACACCAGUGGCGAAGGCGGCCUGCUGGACAGCAACUGACACUGAGGCGCGAAAGCGUGGGGAGCAAACAGGAUUAGAUACCCUGGUA
RNAcentral lists this ribosomal RNA (436 nucleotides) under uncultured Oscillospiraceae bacterium. Its description in RNAcentral is "bacterial SSU rRNA". It matches the Rfam family "Bacterial small subunit ribosomal RNA", at positions 341 to 792 of the family's 1533-position model. The record is from RNAcentral. Lineage: Bacteria; Bacillati; Bacillota; Clostridia; Eubacteriales; Oscillospiraceae.